ACGUAGGUCUCAAGCGUUAUCCGGAUUUACUGGGCGUAAAGUGUCCGUAUCCUGAUAUAUAAGUCUGUUUUCAAAUCCCUCAGCUUAACUGAGGAAAGGGGAUAGAUACUGUAUAUCUAGAGAUUAUUAGGGGUUAGUGGAAUUUCCGGUGGAGCGGUGAAAUGUGUUGAUAUCGGAAAGAAUGCCGAAAGCGGAAGAAGCUAACUAUAUAAAUCUGACGGUGAGGGACGAAAGCUUGGGGAGCAAAAGG
Molecule: ribosomal RNA, 250 nt
Filed under: uncultured prokaryote
Description: partial 16S rRNA
Rfam family: Bacterial small subunit ribosomal RNA
Source: RNAcentral